This 468-nucleotide ribosomal RNA is filed under the name uncultured bacterium. Its description in RNAcentral is "partial 16S ribosomal RNA". It matches the Rfam family "Bacterial small subunit ribosomal RNA", at positions 28 to 507 of the family's 1533-position model. The record is from RNAcentral.
GACGAACGCUGGCGGCGUGCUUAACACAUGCAAGUCGAACGGAAAGGCCCUGCUUUUGUGUGGUUCUCGAGUGGCGAACGUGUGAGUAACCCGUGAGUCACCUUCCCUUUACUUUGGGAUAACUUCAGGAAACUGCUGCUACUACCUGCUAGGUGCUCCUGCUGCAUGGUGGUGUUUGGAACGUUUAGGCGGUUGGGGAUGUACUCGCGGAUUAUCAGCUUGUUGGUUGGGUAGUGGCUUACCCAGGCGUUGGCGGGUAGCCGGCCUGAGAGGGUGAACGGGGACAUGGGGACUGAGAGACGGACCAGACGGGUACGGGAGGCAGUAGGGGGGAGUAUUGCACAAUGGGGGGAAGUCUGAGGAAGCAACGCCGCGUGCGGGAAGAAGGCCUUGGGGUGGGAAACCGCUGUAGCCUGUGACGAAGCGGGAGUGACGGUAAUGGGUAAAGAAGCACCGGCUAACUACGUG